This is a non-coding RNA of Heterocephalus glaber (naked mole-rat), 2779 nucleotides long. The record is from RefSeq and is a predicted model, not a curated record. Lineage: Eukaryota; Metazoa; Chordata; Mammalia; Rodentia; Bathyergidae.
GAUCACAAGUUCAAGCCCACCCUGGGCAACUUAGUGAGAUCCUGUCUCAAAAUGAAAACAAAAAAAUAGAAAUUAGACUGGGAUGUAGCUUAGUGCAAAGCCCUGAAUUCAAUCCCUGGUACUGAAAAAAGUAGAUGAAAAGAUGGAUUUCAAUGAAUUGAAAUCUAUAAAAAAUAAUUGAGAACCAGGUGUAGUGUCACCUGCUCAUACUCCUAACUACUGAAGAGGCUAAUAAGGCAGGAAGAUUGCUUGAGCCCAAGAGUUUGAGGUCAACCUGGGCAACAUACCAAGAUUCCAUCUCAAAACAAAACAAAAGAUCAGAUGUACUUUCUAGAACUGAAAAAUACUUCUAACAAAUUAAGUACUCAAGUCUUAAGACUGAUAGCAAAUUGAACAUAAUGGAAUAUAGGAUUGGUAAUUUGCCUUACAGAUCAAUCAAGGCAAAAUAAAAUGAAACCCAGAGGAGACAAAUGCAAAAACUUACACAAUACAUGAGAGAUAUGUGGAACACAAAUAGUUUUAACAUGAUUAUAGUCUUAAGAGGGAAGACAGAACAGGGCAAAAACAGUAUUUCAAAAAUAUGACCAUACAUUUUCUAAAAUGUUUGAAAGAUGUGAAUUUGUAGGGCCAGGGAUUUAGCUCAGUGGUUCCAGCACUGUCUCCCAAGCUCAACGUCCCAAGUUCGAUCCUCGGUACCAAAAAAAAAAAAAAAAAAAAAAAAAAGAUAUAAAUUUGUAGGUUCCAGAAGCUCAGCAAACCCUAAGCUGUGUAGAUAAAGUCACACCUAGGGAAAUCAGAUUCAACUUCGAAAAGCUAGAAGAAGAAAAUCUUAAAAAUAACCAAGAAAAUAAAACAUGGAGAAAAAGAGGCAUAAGCCAAGGAAUGCAGGCAGCCUCUAGAAACUGGAAAAAGUAAGAUAAAAGAAAGGUUCUCCUCUAGAGCCUCCAGAUGACAGUGCAUCCCUGCCAAGUCUGAUACUCACCACUGAGGCUCAGGUCAGACUUCUGCCCUUCAGAACUGUAAGGCAAUGAAUUUUUGUUCUUUAAAGAUACUAAAUUUAUGGCAGUUUCUUACAUUGGCAAGAAGAAACUGAUACACUCUCUUCUUUAAUCCAAGUUACUGUAUUUGUAAGGUUACUUAUUUUAACUCUAAAUAUAGAGUAAAACAUGGGUUUCUGUCAUACCCUUCCCACUCUUUCAUAGGGGUAUCUAGUUACUAAAGCUUUCUAGUUCUUUUUAUGUACAGCAUUCUCAUACCUUUGUAUAUAAAAAUGCAUCUCUUUUUUUCUUUAUUGUCUGUAAUGUAUGCAUUAUUCUGUAAGGUUUUUCAACAUCACUUUAAUCUUAACCUGGUAAUAUUACUGGUACUGUAUAAUUACAUCACAGUUUAGUUAUCCUUUCCCCUACUGUGGGCAAGUAUUUCGUUUUGUUUUACUUUUAUAAACAGUGCUUCAGUAAACAAUUGCCAUGUGUGUUUUUGAGCAAAUCGUUAAGAAAUUUAGAUCCUAAAUAAGGAAUUUCUGUGUCAGUGGUUAUAAGCAUUUUAAAUUAGAUAUUACCAAAUUGCCUUCCAGAAAGACUUUACCAGUUUACCAUGAACAGUGUAUAAAACUCACUUUCCUAUAUCUUCACCAACAUUAUAAAGUAGGAGUCUUUAAUUUUCCCAAAUUUGGGGCCAGGGAUUUAGCUCAUUGGUUCCAUCACCUGCCUCAAAAGAGCAAGGUCCAGAAUUCGAUCCCCAGUACCAAAAAUUUUUCCCAAAUAUAAGGGCAAAAUACUUCAGUUAAAUUGCAGUAUUCUGAUUACUAAUGAAGUAGUAUUCUUUUUCUGCUACUACAACCCAUUUGUAUUUCUUUUGUGAAUUUGUUAUGUGCUUUUCCCAUUUUUCUAGUAAAUCAUCUUUUUCUUAUUCAUGUAUAGGACAUCUUCAUAAGUCUAGCUAUAUAAUUCCUUGACAUAUAUAUUACUGCUUUUUUCUUAGUCUGUUGUUUUUAGUCUUUUUUAAACUGUAAUUAUGGUGUCUUUAACUUUACAGUCAGCCUUCUAUAUUCAUAGAUUCUGUAUCUCUGAAUUCACCUGACCUUGGAUGGAAAAUAUUAAGGACAAAAACAAUCCCAGAAAGUCCCCAAAAAGUUAAAGUUAAAUUACCCUGAGUCCACAUGAAUGACACAAUGUGUAGGCAGACCCUGCCUCCUGGCUUUCACAGACCCUCAGUCCCUCUCCAGCACUCAAUGUACUCUGCACCUGGUGGAUACUUAACCAUUCACAGCCCUGGACACACCUUGAUAGCUUAACCCAAGGGAAAGAGGGCAUCUUUCCAGAGAAUUUCUGUGAAAAGUUCUGCAUUGAACGCAGAUGAACCUGAUUUUGAUUAUGUGCAAUCACAUCCACAUCCCUUGAGCCAAAGGUGUGGGCUCCUCUGUAUCACAUGCCCAACCCUGCUGUGAGGUUGAAGUCAGCCCUACUUCAACCCAAGGAAGGUUUCCCCUCCAAGAUUUACCAGCAGAUGAGGAAAGGAAUCUCAAAAGCAGGGAAUUCGCUCAUACAAAUGGUGUUUUACUAUUUGUUAAGCCAAGUUUCCCCACAUACAUACACAGUCUUUGUGCUUGUUCAAGAAUAUUUUGCCUGUAUUGUAUACAUUUCCCCCCAUGUGAACUUUAGAGUAGGCUUGUCAAGUUCCAUAAAAAAUGUUGAGUUUUUGAUUGGGCAUGUGUUGAAUUUAUAGAUUCAUUUAGGGAGACCUGACAUCUUUACAAUAUUAAAUUUCUUUAUCCAAGUAA